GAUGAACGCUGGCGGCGUGCUUAACACAUGCAAGUCGAACGAGAAGUGAAGACGGAAACCUUCGGGCGGAAGGCUUUAUUUCGAGUGGCGGACGGGUGAGUAACGCGUGGGUAACCUGCCUCAUACAGGGGGAUAACAGUUGGAAACGACUGUUAAUACCGCAUAAGACCACAGCACCGCAUGGUGCGGGGGUAAAAACUCCGGUGGUAUGAGAUGGUCCCGCGUUCGAUUAGCCAGUUGGCGGGGUAACGGCCCACCAAAGCGACGAUCGAUAGCCGAUCUGAGAGGAUGACCGGCCACAUUGGGACUGAGACACGGCCCAAACUCCUACGGGAGGCAGCAGUGGGGAAUAUUGCACAAUGGGGGAAACCCUGAUGCAGCGACGCCGCGUGAGUGAAGAAGUAUUUCGGUAUGUAAAGCUCUAUCAGCAGGGAAGAAAAUGACGGUACCUGAGUAAGAAGCCCCGGCUAACUACGUG
RNAcentral lists this ribosomal RNA (478 nucleotides) under uncultured bacterium. RNAcentral's name for it is "partial 16S ribosomal RNA". It matches the Rfam family "Bacterial small subunit ribosomal RNA", at positions 28 to 507 of the family's 1533-position model. The record is from RNAcentral.